RNAcentral lists this ribosomal RNA (761 nucleotides) under Xanthoparmelia mexicana. Its description in RNAcentral is "SSU rRNA". It matches the Rfam family "Bacterial small subunit ribosomal RNA", at positions 395 to 1164 of the family's 1533-position model. Lineage: Eukaryota; Fungi; Ascomycota; Lecanoromycetes; Lecanorales; Parmeliaceae. The record is from RNAcentral.
CAUAGUAGAUAUGAUGCAAGAUCGACUAUGUUGAAUAAAAUUCUAGGUAGAAUUAUGAUAAUGACAUUGUCUGCCUAUGUGUCUUGACCAAAUUACGUGCCAGCAGUCGCGGUAAUACGUAGAAGACUAGUGUUAUUCAUGUUUAAUCGGUUUAAAGGGUACCUAGACGGUAGAUCAAGCUUUCUAAUAAAGGAAAAGGACUAGUUUACUAGAGUUACUUAUGAGGGGGUAUUAAAGUACUGCUGGUGUAGAGAUGAAAUUCUGUCAUACCUCUUUUCGAAAGAAAAACCAUGGCACAGGUAUAGGCGAAGGCAUCCCCUUAUGUGAUAACUGACGUUGAGGGACGAAGGCUUUGUGUAGCGAACAGGAUUAGAUACCCCAGUAGUCGAAGCAGAAAAUGAUGAAUGUCAUAGAUUAGAUAUAUAAGUUUAUUCUAUAAAUGAAAGUGUAAGCAUUCCACCUCAUGAGUAAUUUGGCAACAUUGGAACUGAAAUCAUUAGACCGUUUCUGAAACCAGUAGUGAAGUAUGUUGUUUAAUUUGAUGUCCCGCAAAAAACCUUACCACAAUUUGAAUAUUUAUAUUGUUUAUUGUUUUAUUAUUAAUUUUCUUUAAGAAAAUUAAGAAAAAAGCAAUAAGAUAUAAUUACAAGCGUUGCACGGCUGUCUUCAGUUAAUGUCGCGAGACUUUGGUUAGUUCCAUUAAAUUAACGUAAACCCUUACUUUAUUUUUAUAUAGAGUAGUUCCCCGCUAUAUUGGAUAU